Molecule: unclassified non-coding RNA, 455 nt
Filed under: Hevea brasiliensis (rubber tree)
Lineage: Eukaryota; Viridiplantae; Streptophyta; Magnoliopsida; Malpighiales; Euphorbiaceae
Source: RNAcentral
GUAAUGAGUGGGAUGACUAUUCUACUUAUGCAAAUACUGAUGGAGUUGAGAUGGCAUUGGUAAGUGUUUAUCCUUGGUAAAAAAAUAAUUUUGUUUAUGGCUCAUGGUUAGGUUUAGAUGCCAUUUUAAUCUCUAUUUCCUUGAAGAUUCGAAUUUUGACAGUUAAUGUGCAUAUCUCACUUGGCAGGGAGUUUACGGGGACAAUGGGUCUGUUAUGUAUCACAAUGCCUAUGGAUAUGCACCCUAUGGACCAUAUUCACCUGCAGCUUCCACAUCCCAACAUUGGAAAAUGAUGGCGAGCUAUAUGGGCCUUAGCACUGCCAGUAUCCUUCUUGUUUCCAGCCACUUACACCAAACAGUGGACCAUUUCACUUCUAGUCAAGCAACCUCUUCUCAAGGGGAGCUUUCUUCCUCCACAACCCCUGACCAAAUGCCUUUGCCUGCUGAAACCGCCA